RNAcentral lists this ribosomal RNA (254 nucleotides) under uncultured bacterium. RNAcentral's name for it is "partial 16S ribosomal RNA". It matches the Rfam family "Bacterial small subunit ribosomal RNA", at positions 524 to 776 of the family's 1533-position model. The record is from RNAcentral.
UACAGAGGGUGCGAGCGUUGUCCGGAAUCACUGGGCGUAAAGGGCGCGUAGGUGGCGACCCAAGUCGAUGGUGAAAGCUCGCCGCUCAACGGCGAGUCGGCCACCGAUACUGGGUUGCUGGAGCACUGUAGAGGCAGAUGGAAUUCCGGGUGUAGCGGUGAAAUGCGUAGAUAUCGAGAGGGAACACCUGCGGCGAAGGCGGGUUGCUGGGCUGACACUGACGCUGAUGCGCGAAAGCCAGGGGAGCGAACGGG